GCUGAAAAAUGCUCGUAAAUUCUUAGAAAAAGGCGAUAAAGUAAAAGCGGCCGUUCGUUUCCGCGGACGCGCUAUUACGCAUAAAGAAUUAGGACGAGAAGUGCUUGAUCGGUUUGCUGAGGAAGUAAAAGACAUUGCGACUGUAGAGACAAAGCCGAAAAUGGAAGGUCGUAAUAUGUUUAUGAUGCUUGCUCCAGUAAAUGAAAAAUAAAUUGCAGUUGUUGAGUGUAAGAGACUGUUAGAUAUGUUACAAGGAGGAAAAACACUAUGCCAAAAAUGAAAACCCAUAAAGGUUCUCA
This 299-nucleotide unclassified non-coding RNA is filed under the name Virgibacillus pantothenticus. Its description in RNAcentral is "Long range pseudoknot". Lineage: Bacteria; Bacillati; Bacillota; Bacilli; Caryophanales; Bacillaceae. The record is from RNAcentral.